UGGGGAAUUUUGGAUAAUGGGCGCAAGCCUGAUCCAGCCAUGCCGCGUGCAGGUUGAAGGCCUUCGGGUUGUAAACUGCUUUUGUACGGAACGAAAAGACUCCUUCUAAUAAAGGGGGUCCAUGUCGGUACCGUAAGAAUAAGCACCGGCUAACUACGUGCCAGCAGCCGCGGUAAUACGUAGGGUGCGAGCGUUAAUCGGAAUUACUGGGCGUAAAGCGUGCGCAGGCGGUUAUAUAAGACAGAUGUGAAAUCCCCGGGCUCAACCUGGGACCUGCAUUUGUGACAGUAUAGCUAGAGUACGAUAGAGGGGGAUGGAAUUCCGCGUGUAGCAGUGAAAUGCGUAGAUAUGAGGGGGAACACCAAUGGCGAAGGCAAUCCCCUAGAGCUGUACUAACGCUCAUGAACAAAAAAGUGGGGAGCAAACA
RNAcentral lists this ribosomal RNA (427 nucleotides) under uncultured bacterium. Its description in RNAcentral is "bacterial SSU rRNA". It matches the Rfam family "Bacterial small subunit ribosomal RNA", at positions 355 to 774 of the family's 1533-position model. The record is from RNAcentral.